UCUCCGUUGGUGAACCAGCGGAGGGAUCAUUACCGAGUUUACAACUCCCAAACCCCUAUGUGAACGUUACCAAACUGUUGCCUCGGCGGGAAAUUCAUGCCCCGGGCGCGUCGCAGCCCCGGACCAAGGCGCCCGCCGGAGGACCAACCAAAACUCUUUUGUAUGUCCCUCGCGGACUUUUAUAAUUCUGAACCAUCUCGGCGCCCCUAGCGGGCGUUUCGAAAAUGAAUCAAAACUUUCAGCAACGGAUCUCUUGGUUCUG
Molecule: unclassified non-coding RNA, 262 nt
Filed under: plant metagenome
Description: partial contains small subunit ribosomal RNA, internal transcribed spacer 1, and 5.8S ribosomal RNA
Source: RNAcentral